AGAUAUCCACGACUGUUACAGAUGCUUCGUGGAGGUUCAAAAAGACUACAGAUCAAGGCCAGUGACCUUCUACACAUGGUGGACACUCCAGCCUCUGCUCAAUCUCCAUCCACACUUAAAGGAAAUAGCCAACUCUUGGCCAACCUUCAGGCCUGGGAAGAGGCUCAAGCAGACACUGAAGACGGACUUAAGGCUGAAUAUGGCUGGAAUACUGCCCAAAUGAACUGACCAUUUUCCCAGUACUUUCAUCUUCAGAGAGAAGGCACUAAAAGUGGAUGGAGAGAAGACACAGAGGCUGGGCUGAAGGGGGAGGAAGCUGGGAGCCCUGCACAGGGCUACUGCACACUGGGACCUGCUCCUGGUUCAGCUCUGGAGGAAAGGCAUGACCAAGGACCAGGGUAUAUACACCAGACAACAGAGCCGUUUCAUUUUGGGGGCUCGUUUGGGAUCAGAAUCAGAAUGGAAGGUAGAAACAUCAGAGUGGCUAUACGAUGUCCGGAAGUGGUGGGUUCUUGGUCUCACUGACUUCAAAAAUGAAGACGAAGACGUGGACUCUGGCGGUGAGUGUUACAGUUCUUAAAGGCGGUGUGUCCGGAGUUCAUUCCUUAUAAUGUUGGGAGUUUCUUCCUUAUGGUGGGUUUGUGGUCUCGCUGGCUCCGGAGUGAAGCUGCAGACCUUCGCGGUGAGUGUUACAGCUCUUAAGGCGGCACGUCUGGAGUUGCUGGAUCCUCCCGGUGCGUUUGUGGUCUCGCUGACUUCAGGACUGAAGCUGCAAACCUUUGCCGUGAGUGUUACAGCUUAUAAAAGCAAUGUGGACCCACAGAGAGAACAGCAGCAAGAUUUAUUGGAAAGAGAUAAAGAAUAAGGCUUCCACACUGUGGGAGGGGACCGGAGGGGGUUGCCACUGCUGGCUCCGGCA
Long non-coding RNA from Homo sapiens (human), 919 nucleotides. RefSeq lists it as uncharacterized. The transcript has 6 exons. NCBI's taxonomy places the organism in Eukaryota, Metazoa, Chordata, Mammalia, Primates, Hominidae. The record is from RefSeq and is a predicted model, not a curated record.